This is a long non-coding RNA of Pistacia vera, 1861 nucleotides long. RefSeq lists it as uncharacterized. The record is from RefSeq and is a predicted model, not a curated record. Lineage: Eukaryota; Viridiplantae; Streptophyta; Magnoliopsida; Sapindales; Anacardiaceae. The transcript is spliced from 15 exons.
AGAUUUUGUACCAGCAAACCUCACACUGUUUGGGCUUUUAGAAACCCAAGUAGUAGAGGUUGUAGCUGCAUCUUCCAUGAGACCGCAAUGACGGCCUUGAAAGGUGGAGUUGUGGCUGUGGGUAUGAGGAAGAAAAGUGGAAGCUUCUCAAAUUACAGUGGAUUCCCUCUAUGAAAUCUUUUGAUGACUCAUUGAGAUAGAGUGUCAAGAUUAAGGUGUAAUGAAUUUUCUGAAGAAUCAAGGUUGAAAUAUGAUGUAUGAAGAAGUUUCCAGAUUGAGAUUUCAUCAAACGUUUAUUCUCUCGGUGAAGCAUUUUGCCAUAUAGAAGAAAGGAGGAAUAGCGUCGAAAGAACUCGAUUAAUGGAAUGAACAUAAACUCUUCUAAUCAAUGAGGAUGUCAAAUCACUUCUUGAUAUCUUACACCCACCAUUGAAUAUGGAGCAAUGGGAUUACAGAGGCAACACUAUUUUCACCGACUGGAUGAUGUACUUAACCAACCUCAGGCACUUAAGAAUUUGUCAUUGCAUAAACUGCACUACCAAACUACCUUGUUCAGAAUACAACAUUGGAUAUAUCCAUUGAGGAUUGUCCUAUGUUAGGCCACCCUUGAAGGGAAAAAUAAGAGGGAGCUUCUCCAAUUUCAUAGAAUUCCAUCUAUGAAUUACUAGGAUAGUUGAGUGAGCAUUUCACGUUAUGGAGGACAGGAGGAAUGAAAUUAGAAAAUAGUCGAAAGAAUUUGAUUGAUGGUUGGCUAUGCUUUCUCAAUGCUGCUUUCUGUUCUUCUUCAUUUCAUCAAAUUACACUGGAUGCCCUCUUUAAAAUUUUGUUGACUCUUUCCAGUGAGGCAAGAUGUCAUGAAUUUGCUGAAGAAUCAAGGUUAAAAAUGAUAUAUAUAUCAGAGAAGUUGCCAGAUUGAGGUUCUAGUUGCAUACCUUUGCUUGACCAAAACUUCCCUAUAUCUACUAAGCAUUUCUUCUCUUUCAGCUUUUUGAAACCAGACAUUAAAUUCGGUCUACAGAAUUUUCUAUCAUGCUGGUAACUUGACAGGCCUCAAAGUACCGUACUUCUUAAAGCAUUUUGCGUUAUGGGAGAGAGGAAGAAUGGCAUUAUGAGAAGAGUCGAAAGAACUCGAUGAAUGGAUGAAACAAGUGCUCACUCCGGGGUCUUCACAUCUGGAAUUUGGAAGGUCUUCUAAUUACACUAAAUUUCCUCUAUGAAAUCCUCAAGGACUCAUUCUAGUGAGGCAAGUACCGGUGUUAAGAAAUUAAUGCUGGGUGUAACUGCAAACUGGAAAUUCUGCAUUUCUUAUUUCAAGAAACACCUUCUGCUCCUACAAUCUCAAACACAGCAACUCUACUUUAGCUCAGCACUGGGAAAUGUUUUGUAUGACUGUGUCUGUACUCCUUAAAGAGUUGAUUUACUAAUGCCUUCCUUAUAUGCUGAGAAUUUACAAUUUCUUUCACUCAUUAGUUGAGGAAAUACAAAAGUACAAAGCAAUGAAGGACCAAUUCUUUAUAGUUCAAUGGCAGAAACUUCAUUGAGGCACUUAUAUUGUAACAAGAAGAAAUUUUUGCCUGACGAAACAACUGCUGAAUCUUCUGGUUUUCACAUUUUUUUUGAGUGCUUCAGUAUCCAAUGGUCAUGGAAUCAUGAAAUGUUAAAGGAAGGAAUUCGAACAUAAUUGUAAAUUCUGUUGAGAAAUUUAAGUUUUUCAUGUAUUUAAUUUCAGUUGUUCAAUGGAGAUAGAAGUAUAAAUGUUACUGCUAAGGAAUAAAAAUUCUGGAAAUUAUUGUCACUCACGGGUGCCGUAAAUAUAAUCUACAAUAAACAGUACAGUGUAAAUAUUUGUUUUCCUUUUUGA